Molecule: ribosomal RNA, 119 nt
Filed under: Pteropus alecto (black flying fox)
Lineage: Eukaryota; Metazoa; Chordata; Mammalia; Chiroptera; Pteropodidae
Source: RNAcentral
GUCUAUGGCCAUGCCACCCUGAACAUGCCCGAUCCCGUCUGAUCUCGGAAGCUAAGCAGGGUCAUGCCUGGUUAGUACUUGGAUGGGAGACCACCUAGGAAGACCAGGUGCUAUAGGCU